This 72-nucleotide transfer RNA is filed under the name Dipodomys ordii (Ord's kangaroo rat). It matches the Rfam family "tRNA". Rfam says of the family: Transfer RNA (tRNA) molecules are approximately 80 nucleotides in length. Their secondary structure includes four short double-helical elements and three loops (D, anti-codon, and T loops). The record is from Rfam by way of RNAcentral. Lineage: Eukaryota; Metazoa; Chordata; Mammalia; Rodentia; Heteromyidae.
GGGAAGGUGGCUCAGGGGUAGAGUGCUUGCCUCGCAUGCAUGAGGCCUUGGGUUCGAUUCCUCAGCACCCCU